GAUGAACGCUGGCGGCGUGCCUAAUACAUGCAAGUCGAGCGAACGGACGAGAAGCUUGCUUCUCUGAUGUUAGCGGCGGACGGGUGAGUAACACGUGGAUAACCUACCUAUAAGACUGGGAUAACUUCGGGAAACCGGAGCUAAUACCGGAUGAUAUUUUGAACCGCAUGGUUCAAAAGUGAAAGACGGUCUUGCUGUCACUUAUAGAUGGAUCCGCGCUGCAUUAGCUAGUUGGUAAGGUAACGGCUUACCAAGGCAACGAUGCAUAGCCGACCUGAGAGGGUGAUCGGCCACACUGGAACUGAGACACGGUCCAGACUCCUACGGGAUGCAGCAGUAGGGAAUCUUCCGCAAUGGGCGAAAGCCUGACGGAGCAACGCCGCGUGAGUGAUGAAGGUCUUCGGAUCGUAAAACUCUGUUAUUAGGGAAGAACAUAUGUGUAAGUAACUGUGCACAUCUUGACGGUACCUAAUCAGAAAGCCACGGCUAACUACGUG
This 497-nucleotide ribosomal RNA is filed under the name uncultured bacterium. RNAcentral describes it as "partial 16S ribosomal RNA". It matches the Rfam family "Bacterial small subunit ribosomal RNA", at positions 28 to 507 of the family's 1533-position model. The record is from RNAcentral.